This 253-nucleotide ribosomal RNA is filed under the name uncultured bacterium. Its description in RNAcentral is "partial 16S ribosomal RNA". It matches the Rfam family "Bacterial small subunit ribosomal RNA", at positions 524 to 776 of the family's 1533-position model. The record is from RNAcentral.
UACGAGGGGUGCAAGCGUUGUUCGGAAUUACUGGGCGUAAAGCGUGUCGAGGCGGAUCCACAAGUCAGGCGUGAAAGCCCCCGGUUUAACCGGGGAGGGUCGCUUGAAACUGUGGACCUUGAGUUCCGGGGAGGUGGGUGGAAUUCCCAGUGUAGAGGUGAAAUUCGUAGAGAUUGGGAGGAACACCGGCGGCGAAAGCGGCUCACUAACCGGACACUGACGCUCUAGCACGAAAGCGUGGGUAGCAAACAGG